GAAAAACACCGGUUCUCGUUCGAUCACCGAAGUUAAGCAUCGUAGAGCCAGGUCAGUACUUAGAUGGGGACCGCUUGGGAACACCUGGUACUGUAAG
Acanthosepion pharaonis is the source of this 97-nucleotide non-coding RNA. The record is from the annotation of a GenBank genome assembly. NCBI's taxonomy places the organism in Eukaryota, Metazoa, Mollusca, Cephalopoda, Sepiida, Sepiidae.